Molecule: non-coding RNA, 189 nt
Organism: Arachis ipaensis
Lineage: Eukaryota; Viridiplantae; Streptophyta; Magnoliopsida; Fabales; Fabaceae
Source: RefSeq, a predicted model, not a curated record
GGAAGCUCUACACUUUCUGUAGAUGCUGCAAGCAAUAUCAGAAAAAAUACCCCGAAAACCCCGAUCAAAUAUUUUAGAAAAAAGAAAAUCUUCCCAAGAAAGACGUCUAAAACUGCACAAGUAGCUACACCUGAAUCUGAAGUACAAAUCGUUGAGUUUCAACAACAAACUCGUUCUGAACCUUUGGAA